This is a non-coding RNA of Schistosoma mansoni, 45 nucleotides long. NCBI's taxonomy places the organism in Eukaryota, Metazoa, Platyhelminthes, Trematoda, Strigeidida, Schistosomatidae. The record is from Rfam.
AUCCAGCUGACGAGUUGUAAAUAAGACGACAUGUACGUCAUGGAU